Molecule: long non-coding RNA, 2502 nt
Organism: Oxyura jamaicensis (ruddy duck)
Lineage: Eukaryota; Metazoa; Chordata; Aves; Anseriformes; Anatidae
Exons: 3
Source: RefSeq, a predicted model, not a curated record
AGGCAUGAAGGGAGCGAGGCAAACCUGAACGCAGGCCCCGCAGGUGUUGGGGCAGCAGUCAGCAUGGUAGAGCAGGCUGGAGGCGGCCACUGAGGCCUCCACCAACUGGUGGUGGUGGUUUCAGGAGGAAGGUUUCUUUCAAAAGAGUCUUGUGGCUUCCUCCGGAGCAGCCAGGGCUGGCAGAAAGCUGGAGUAGAUGUAGAACAAACCAGCCUGACAAUGCCAUUUGUGAUUCUCAGACAUCACUGAACGCAGCACUGUUACUUCGAUUAUUUGCGCCUAAGCUUCAUUUUGCUUUUCCCCUGCUGCAACUACCGCACAUGGAUCUAUGAAAAGGAAGCAGGAAGCUUGGAAUAACAAUGUUUGAGGCUGCAGCUUGGCUUCCUGCUGCUCUGCUGCCUGUUACCCCCCUCCCCAAGCAGGGGAACAUGCAGGGGCUCUGAACGCAGUCUCCUGCCAUUUCCUAUCUUUCAGGAUGCUUUGUAGCUCAGCUCUAGCUCCUCCUCUCCUGCAAUGGUAUUGUGAAAGGUUAAUAUGAGCAGUUAAAACACAGCUAAAGCAGGAAGAAGUCUUGGAGGAAUAAACCAGUUUCUGAAUUAAUUCCUGCUACAGGCAGAAAGCUUUGCAGUAUCUUCAGAGACUGAUUGCUUGAGUCCAAAGGAAAGGGACCAUAAAAAGAUUUUGUUUCAGUGCAGAAGCUCUCAGAGCGCUUAGAGGCUUUAUAAAACAUCUCACCUUAAAUGCUGGCAUGGGUACAUUUGCUGGAACUUGUCCAUGGGAGAUGGGGAACCUGUAGGCACGAAGCAGGCCCCUUUGUCCUCCUAGAGGAGCACUGAAACAGCAGUCAGAAGAGCAGCAAGAUCCUGCUUCUGCAGAAGCCAUCAAAUAGUACUAAAAAUCUGAGCACCUAAAUGCACCUCACCAGCUACUUCAGAGUGGGAAGAUGUACCAGGGCAAGUCUCCCAGCUGUGGUGAUGGAAGCACCAGGCCACGGGGGGCUUCUGGCAGUUCAGGAGCUGUCCUUACCAGAUGGAAAAGCGAGUAGGGCAGCCUGACCUAGGCAGCAAGGCACAUGGCACCAGGAUCAAAUCCCCAGUGUAACAAGACGUGAAUCUAGGAAUUUUGCUGCAUUCUUUCAGAGGCACAGAGUGGAAUAAAAGUGGAUCCAUCUUUUUGUUCCCUCAAACAUUGUGUGAGGCAAAGCAAUUACUGGUAUAAGGUAACUUUCACAUGAGCAGAGCCCUGAAAUUUGGCUUUUUUUCUCAGUCAGAUACAGUUAGGUAUCUUUUCCUUUCUGUUGACAGGUACUUAGGAGAGGAAAAUAGUGAAGGUCAUUGCUCCUUCAGAAACAUGUAGGACCUGAGGGUAGCAUAGAAGGAGCUAGGAAGGAGGGUGCAGACAGAGCCUCCACUCAGCUGGGGUGGAGCAAACGAACCCCCUCAGUUGCUACCCAUUUGCAGUAAUAAGAUCUACAGCCAGUUUGUUACUUGAGGGGGAGUUACAGCACAGCAGGUGGGGCUGGUUUUGUAUAAUGCAUUGGUUUUUCUUUUCCAUUUCCCACCUGCUUCUAUGUUUCUUCCUGCAGCAGGGGCUCUAGCAAAAUUCUGUAAUGUGCAAAGAUAUGGAAUAGAAAUUUUGUCCCAGGUUGCAAACACAAAAUGUUUCUGCUCCCUCUGAAGCAGAGGGGAAGAAAGAACAGCAGGACUUGCCUGUGAGCAUUGCAGCAGGAACUUCAAUGGCCUGUGAGAGGCUAAGAGCCCAGCAGCAAUUUUGGAGUUACUUGCUGUGCAUGAUGCUGCACCCCUCUGCUCCUUCUUGCACGUGCCAACUCACAGUCCUCCACCUGCUCUUAGGGUUUCCUGUGCUGAAUUGUGAGUGGGGAAAUGCAAACAUGAAGGACAAAUCCCCAGGAAAUGGGAUUAUCGGAAGUCAGAAAGUGACCAAGAUUGAAGGACAAGUAGGCAAGGGGGAUUGGUCCUGUCCCCAAAACAGUUUUCACUGGGACAAAGCAGCUCUUCUGUCUGGAAAGUAGAGAAGGAGGUUCUUGAAAAGGCUUUCUGCCAUGCCUGGCGAGCUGAAGCUUAAAUGCCUUGAUUGAAGUAUUGCAUGGCUGACUUGUUAUGUAUGGAUAAAUUUCCAACAUCACGUUACAAACACUCUUAUCUUGUGCAGCAGUUAGGUAUUGCAAAUUCAUUAUGCCAGUCAUUUUACAAAUGCUAUGUAUUUUCCUAUUGCUGUAGCCUUUGAGCACAUUAGUCUUCUCCUGGAAGUUUUCCAUUAAGAAAAUAUUUACAAUCUUAAUUCUAACAUAAUUUCUUUCCCUGGGAAUUCUCAUGGUCGCUAAUUAGGUUAACACCAAUCAUUAGAACACAAACAUAAUUAUUGUCCCAUAGUAUUAAAAUUAGUCACACGUUAAAAGCUAAAUUGAAUUAGUCAAUGGUGAGAAUGAACAAUGGCUGUGCUUCUGAUUAUACCAUGUCAAGGUUUCCUGAAGAAAACCCU